This 369-nucleotide ribosomal RNA is filed under the name Leptobrachella picta. RNAcentral's name for it is "partial 12S ribosomal RNA". It matches the Rfam family "Bacterial small subunit ribosomal RNA", at positions 867 to 1400 of the family's 1533-position model. Lineage: Eukaryota; Metazoa; Chordata; Amphibia; Anura; Megophryidae. The record is from RNAcentral.
AUCCGCCUGAGAAUCACAAGCACGCAGCUUAAAACUCAAAAGACUUGGCGGUGCUCUACAUCCACCUAGAGGAGCCUGUCCUAUAAUCGAUAAUCCACGAUUCACCUCACCACUUCUCGCCUAUUCAGUCUAUAUACCGCCGUCGUAAACUCACCCCCUGAGGGACUAGCAGUGAGUCUAAUGACACUAUCGCCAACACGUCAGGUCAAGGUGUAACUAAUGAAUUGGGAAGAGAUGGGCUACAUUUUCUAAAAUAGAACACACGGAAAAUCACUAAUGAAAUGUGACCAGAAGGAGGAUUUAGCAGUAAAAAGAAAACAGCAUGUUCUUUUUAACAAGGUCAUAGAGCACGUACACACCGCCCGUCAC